RNAcentral lists this ribosomal RNA (455 nucleotides) under Crocidura grandiceps. RNAcentral describes it as "partial large subunit ribosomal RNA". It matches the Rfam family "Bacterial large subunit ribosomal RNA", at positions 1929 to 2563 of the family's 2925-position model. The record is from RNAcentral. Lineage: Eukaryota; Metazoa; Chordata; Mammalia; Eulipotyphla; Soricidae.
GGCCGCGGUAUCCUGACCGUGCAAAGGUAGCAUAAUCAUUUGUUCCUUAAUUAGGGACUUGUAUGAAUGGCCCCACGAGGGUUUAACUGUCUCUUACUUUUAAUCAGUGAAAUUGACCUUCCCGUGAAGAGGCGGGGAUAUAAAAAUAAGACGAGAAGACCCUAUGGAGCUUAAAUUAAUAUGCUCAACAAAAUUUUAAUUUUGCCCAACAGGAAUAACCACAAUUUAACUGAGCAAUAAAUUUUGGUUGGGGUGACCUCGGAGUAUAACAAAACCUCCGAGUGAUUUUAACUAAGACAUACCCGUCAAAGUUACAUAACUUAUUGAUCCAAUCAUAUUGAUCAACGAAACAAGUUACCCUAGGGAUAACAGCGCAAUCCUAUUCGAGAGUUCAUAUCGACAAUAGGGUUUACGACCUCGAUGUUGGAUCAGGACACCCAAAUGGUGCAGCAGCU